CUGCCCCCAUCACAGACAUAACCUCGGGAAACCGAGGCUAAUAUCUGAUGAGGUCGUGAGAUCAAAGCUUCGGCGGAUGGGGAUGAGCCUGCGGCUGAUUAGCUAGUUGGUGAGGUAAUGGCUCACCAAGGCGACGAUCAGUAGCUGGUCUGAGAGGACGAACAGCCACACUGGAACUGAGACACGGUCCAGACUCCUACGGGAGGCAGCAGUGAGGAAUAUUGGUCAAUGGGAGCAAUCCUGAACCAGCAAUGCCGCGUGUGGGAUGAAGGCGCUUCGCGUCGUAAACCACUGUCGGACGGGACGAAAGGAGCUAUGAAGCUCUAGGACGGUACCGUCAAAGGAAGGAUCGGCUAACUACGUGCCAGCAGCCGCGGUAAUACGUAGGAUCCAAGCGUUGUCCGGAUUUACUGGGUAUAAAGGGUGCGUAGGCGGCCUUGUGCGUCAGAGGUGAAAUCUCCGGGCUUAACCCGGAGGGUGCCUUUGAUACGGCAGGGCUUGAGUGCGAGAGAGGAUGAUGGAAUUCCUGGUGUAGCGGUGAAAUGCGUAGAUAUCAGGAGGAACACCGGUGGCGAAGGCGGUCAUCUGGCUCGAAACUGACGCUGAGGCACGAAAGCGUGAGGAUCAAACAGGAUUAGAUACCCUGGUAGUCCACGCCCUAAACGAUGUAUGCUUGGUGUUGGGGUCGCAAGAUCUCAGUGCCGUAGGAAAUCUGAUAAGCAUACCACCUGGGGAGUACGAUCGCAAGGUUGAAACUCAAAGGAAUUGACGGGGGCCCGCAC
This 782-nucleotide ribosomal RNA is filed under the name uncultured bacterium. Its description in RNAcentral is "bacterial SSU rRNA". It matches the Rfam family "Bacterial small subunit ribosomal RNA", at positions 126 to 926 of the family's 1533-position model. The record is from RNAcentral.